RNAcentral lists this RNase P RNA (336 nucleotides) under Gammaproteobacteria bacterium. Its description in RNAcentral is "RNase P RNA component class A". It matches the Rfam family "Bacterial RNase P class A". From Rfam's summary of the family: Ribonuclease P (RNase P) is a ubiquitous endoribonuclease, found in archaea, bacteria and eukarya as well as chloroplasts and mitochondria. Its best characterised activity is the generation of mature 5'-ends of tRNAs by cleaving the 5'-leader elements of precursor-tRNAs. Cellular RNase Ps are ribonucleoproteins. Lineage: Bacteria; Pseudomonadati; Pseudomonadota; Gammaproteobacteria. The record is from RNAcentral.
AGAGUCAGCUACGUGAUCGCUGUGAAAACAGAGGAAAGUCCGGGCUCCAUAGGCAAUAGUGCCAGGUAACACCUGGGAGACGUAAGUUUACGGAAAGUGCUACAGAAAAUAACCGCUUGCUAGUUAGCAAGUAAGGGUGAAAAGGUGAGGUAAGAGCUCACCACAUACNAGGUAACAAGUAUGGUUGAGGCAAACCCCACUAGGAGCAAAGCAAAUUUAUAGCAUUUUGUCAGCCUAAGACAAGCUAUAUGGUAGGCUGCUAGAGGUUUUUGGNGACAAAAGCCCCAGAUUAAUGAUCAUGCACGACAGAACCCGGCUUAUCNGCUGGCUCUNAGC